Dioscorea cayenensis subsp. rotundata (Guinea yam) is the source of this 1507-nucleotide long non-coding RNA. RefSeq lists it as uncharacterized. Lineage: Eukaryota; Viridiplantae; Streptophyta; Magnoliopsida; Dioscoreales; Dioscoreaceae. The transcript has 3 exons. The record is from RefSeq and is a predicted model, not a curated record.
UCUCCAGGAUGUCGACGUAGGAGCUACGCCCGCCGCCUCCUCUCUAUCCUUCCUUCUCUCUCGCUUGCUCGUCGCUGCCUCUUCUGUUCGAGAAAGGCGUAACACUGCCUCAUCUUCAAACAGGCAUCGCCUCCAAGACGAGGAAGGGCUCGCGAAAUCACAUCAGUUCCUUCUCUGCAUAGAUCGGUUUGGAUCCCAGAGAUCUGAAUUCUGAUUGGCCUGAUCUUGAAGAGAUUUCACCUGCAAGAGCAAUCAGUCAAUCUCCCGAUGUUAAGGGAUUGAACUAGUUUGCAAACCUUUGUAUCAACAAGAUGAGGAACCCUAUUUCGGAUUUGGUCUUGCAACUUGACAAGGAUAAGAGAUCAUGAGAGUGCGCCCUUGGGAGCUGCAUCGGGGACUCAUGGGCGGCGCAAUUGGAGAGGGUGCUCGGGAGUUGUUGAGAGACGCAACUCUCGCUAGGGGUUUAGGGAAGGAAUGGUGCCUUCCUUCGAUAUCUUUAACCAAUUUUAGCUUGCUUGAUGGUGACCUAUUAUCUGGUUGUCUAUAUUGCUCUAGAUCUUUGUUAAUCUGGGUUGUUGGAUCCAUUAACCAAAUAAAAUAAAAUAGAUCAUAUUCUAUGAUGAAUCCAACCAACAAUUUUUUUAUAUCUUUCUUCCUUCUAAAAUCAUUAUUGUAUGGUAUUUUAUAGGAUAUCUGAUACAGAUACAGAAAACUAAUAAAGGAUACCAUCGAAUGACUAAAUAUCGAAAUGGAUCCUAUUUGAAUUCUUUUUUUUAUUUGUUUUGUAAUAAAGUAAGUAGAUCUAUUUAUACAUUCAGAUAGAAAUACACUAAAUCUUUCUUUAUUAACUGAGUAAUGCUUGAAUAACUAAUCAAAGAUUUAGGGGUUUUCUUUUCUCUGGAUUAUUUCGUUAUUCUGAUAAUUGUGUUUGUUUGCAUUCUAAGGAUGAGUAAAACUAGACUAUUGCUGGUGAAAAAGGGUAUUAGAUUUGUGCAAAGUGAUAUAUGACUCAUAGGUCAUGUUCUGAUGCCAACGAUUAAUUGUAAUGUUUGUUAUGAGAAAUAAUGCGUGCUUGAAUUCAUUAGUGGUAUUUUGUGGUCAGGUCAUCCAUACCAUCUUUUUGAUGCUUGGUUUAAGGUCCUCUGUAGAAAGUUUUCAGAGUUUUCUUUAUUGAGUAAACUGCCAUAUAGUUGUUCAUCAAGUAAUGUUUCCUCAUUCAAAGUUCUUUCAUAUAUGGUCAAUUCCAUGCAAAUCACAACAAAUAGAAAGCUGAUAGAGAAUACUGCUCCAUUAGCAGGGAUGGCCCAAGUGCAUUAGCAAUUGGAAAACCAUAUUGACGCAUGAUGCAGAGCAUCUCGGCACCAUAUUAUCCCAAUAUUGGGAUAACCAUAUUGGGAUAAUCAUAUUGGCAAUAUGGUGACUAUUAGCAUACAGUCCAUGACAUAUUAGGAUAAUCAUAUUGGCAAUAUGGUGACUAUUGGCAUAUGGUCCAUAGCAUAUUGGGAUA